Cucumis melo (muskmelon) is the source of this 73-nucleotide non-coding RNA. Lineage: Eukaryota; Viridiplantae; Streptophyta; Magnoliopsida; Cucurbitales; Cucurbitaceae. The record is from Rfam.
ACCAAGAUAGCUCCGUUGGUAGAACAGAGGAUUGAAAAUUCUCGUAUCACCGGUUCAAAUCUGGUUCUUGACA